This 4231-nucleotide long non-coding RNA is filed under the name Equus caballus (horse). RNAcentral's name for it is "lncRNA (ENSECAG00000051000.1)". Lineage: Eukaryota; Metazoa; Chordata; Mammalia; Perissodactyla; Equidae. The record is from RNAcentral.
CACCUUUGAAACACUUGGUGGCUGCGCGGGAUCCGGCGGGGAGCGAGGGGAGUUCCCUGGUCACGUGCGGGAGGAAAUGUCUCCCUGGCCUCCCAGCCUGCCUGCUCUUGUUUCUGGGGCUCGUCUGGUUGGAUGAGCCAGGCCAGGAGCUCCCGCUCACCUCUGCAAGUUAAGCCCAUCGGUUUUUAAAAUUCAGAAUUCCAGGAAAGACUUUCCUUUCUACUUACUAGGUUAACAGAACACUAGCCCGGGGGGUUCCAACCACCAACGUUUCUAGGCAGCCAAAAAUCUCAUCACACAGCCAGAGAAACAGUCACAAAUUCCCAUGACACACUGCCAGGCCGUAUCUCUGCUCGCAGCCUGCUGCAGGACUGUGGGAGUAAGUCAGCGCUGCCGGUAUCAGCUCGAAGACUCCUGGACUCCCUCCACACUGAUACUUUGUGCCUUUUCCCUGAGUGAGAAACAGAGUCCUCUAUUUCUUCAGGAUAUCAGUUGUAACAAUAUUGUACUGAGUAAGGCUCCAGCUAGAGUCCUGUGGCGAGUCAAUAGAGACCUCCAUCGAAGUUGAAAUGGAUCCAUUACCAAGACUUUUAGGCAGUGAUUGUUCAACCAGCUGCAAAUCAGUCUAAUUUACCCCACAUCUACCCUACGCCUCUACAGGCCAGUGUAAAAGAUUUUUGCCUAACGUCAUACUGAAAUUCACACGUGUUGCCUUGACCUUCCAGCGCAACCACAUUGUCAAAGAAAUGGAGGUCUGCUCACACCUCACAGUUCACAUUUUCUUUGGCCCCUCUCUGUUACCAACGCUGGACUUUUCCUGCUGGCCUGAGGCUCCUCUUACAUCAGACACCGGCCACCCCUAGAACUUGCUUCCUCAUUUUUUGCUGUAACUGACUGUACGACACAGUGUUGGCUCCCUAAACGCAUUGGACAUACACCUGAAUGGCUGCGCGUCAGUGGCGGUGCUUUGAGUCCUGUUUCAGGUAUGCGGUGAACUGCUCGCUUGCUCACUCAGUGAAGUUACUGAUCGCUCCCUCCAAAAGUCCAGUUCUGCCAAGACGUAAAACCCUUUUGUAACACAAGUAUAAUACUUUCGAAUGUAGAUUUUGUUUACCUGUACUGAAUUUUCUCAAAAUGAACCAUACCUUUAAACACGAUAAUGACAGGCUAGGGCUGCUGUAACUUGAAUCAUCAGUGAAUACAAUACCUGGCACAUGGUGUGCUCCUGCCGGGAAAUUCUUUAACCUCAACUCUUCAGACUUAGGAAAAUAAGUAGUAUUUUCUUUAAAUUGGUAGUUUAUGUGAGGAUAAACAAAAGCAGUUUCCAUCUGGUUUGACGUUGACCCGGGAUUAUUUUCAAGUCAUCCUUGUUCCUCCUUUGCAAACGAAAUCACAGUCUCCAGGAGGAUGCAGCCAGUUAGUCUCGCCCGUCGCUGUCUUCAGAGUCAGCACGGUACCUGGACUCUGUAGAACACGUGCUCAGUGAACAUUUCUUGAACAGAUAAAUGAGGAAUAAAUGAAUACAUGUGUACAAAAAGCUUACUUCAUCUAGUCAUAAAAUGAUUUCAGUUUGCCAUGGGAUCAAAUGUAGACAUGACCAAUGCCUUCUAGAAAGAAACCUUUGGGGCAAAAAUCACCAUCUGAGUUGCACAAAUAAUAGUAAUAUUUUUGAUCAACAGUUCUCAAAUGUUUUGUUCUCAGGACUCCUUUAUACUCUAAAAAAUUGUUGAGAACCCCAAAGAGUUUUUGCUUAUAUAGGACAUAUCCAUUGAUACUUGCAAUAUUAGAAAUUAAAACCAAAAUUAAAUGUUAAUUUGAAAUAAUAGCAAUACUCAUAAUAUACCAACAUAAUGUUUUGUGAAAAUGUAUUUUCCAAAAUAAAAAUAAAUUAUGAGUGACAUUAUUUAAAAUAUUUGAAAAUCUCUUGACUGUCUGGCUUAGUAGAAGAUAGCUGGAUUCUCGUCUCUGCUUCUGCCUUCAAUCUAUGGUAAUAUUACCUGUCAUGUGGCCUCUAGAAAACUCCACAGUAUACUCAAGAGAAUGGGAUUUUCAUUAAAAUAGUUGUGAUCUGUGGACCCCCUGAAAGGGCUUGGAGAACCCCAGGAGUCCCUGGACUAUAAUUUGAGAACCUCUGUUCUAAAUGUUUACACUUUUAAAAUAAUAAAGCUAUUCAAUUCAUAACAGUUUCUUCUUUGCCUAGAAUAUCAGAACCUUCAGGGCGAAGGUCAUCCAUCAGCUCAGGUGGGGAAUGACAGCCUGUCCAUCACCUGUCACGCUGCUCAGCUGCUGCCUGAUUGCUACUGGGCUUUUCCUUCCUUUUUAGUGUUAAUGGUUUUUGGCCGUACUUCUUCUGCGUUUUCAUUAGAAGAUGCUGCCAGUCCUUUCUGGAAAGAGGUUAAGUGUUUAAAAGUAUAGGAAUAUCUGUCUAUCCAUCUAUCUAUCUAUCUACACACACAUAAAAAGCAACACAUACAAGUUUGAAAGUACACUUUCAUUUCAUUUUCAGUAUCUAUCUAGCUAACGCACCUCAACAGGAUGAAAAUAUAUAAUAUAGUCACUUGAAAGGUUAAGAAAAUCCUCAGGUUGUCUGAAUGGGCCUUCUUCACAGAGCCCAGAGAAUGGGGUUCAAGUGCAGGGCCUGCUCUCUAAACAGCUACAGCUCCAUGACAGGCAAUUUAUCACUCAAGAAAUGAGGCAAAUCAUCAAGGUCUCAGAGUGUCUGAACUGUUCCUCAGAACUCCCACCCGGACCAUCCACUUUUUCUCUGUCAAUAACUAAUUUGACUGAAGCCUAUGAGAGUCGCACUUUUUCAGUGCCAGCCCACUGCAUGUCAUUUUUCUGUCUGGGAGAACUGCCCUUCAGUCAUCCAGGCGGGUGAGCGCCCCGCCUUGCCUGUCUCAGGGCACCCUGUUUGGGGCCACCCUUGACCGGAUCAGGUUGUGCACCUGACCCAGGCUGAGCCAACCGCAUUCUCUCUCGUGGGAAUGUGGCCUCGGAUUGAGCACAGCCAGCUACCCGGGACCGACCUCUUCAGUAGGGAGGGUGUAAACCCGGCAGUUGUGAGGGAUCCUCUUCCACUCAGCUGCCCAGAGAGAAGAAGGAAGGAGAGUUGAUUGCAGAGAGACGUGGAGCAGAGGCGAAGGCUGGAGAAGGCCUGCUUCCUGGCUUCCUCGUAGCCAUCUGUCCUUGGGCUUCAUGAGAUACUGCCUCACCACAUAUUUCCCUUAAUAAUUAAGCCAGCUCAAGUUGAUUCCUUGCAACCAAAAGCUCUCAACUAAAGCAAAGGCAAAGCCAGAAGCAUUGGUGAGUUUUUCGCUACAGCCGGGUCCUGUAAAAGAUCCUGGAGAGGAUUGAUUGUAGGUCCUAAAUACGCAUCAUCGACUCACUGAAGGCUUCCAUCCGGCCAAAACACGUUUCCAUCCAAGGCCAACUAGAUUAGGAAAUGGCGUUUCCUCCUGCUUUCCAUCCCUGGAGGGCAAAUGUACAGAUGACUGGAGUUAGCAAUUGACUCUGUGGGUUAGUAUUUGCUGAGGGCACACGCCCAGGGACUUGAAUGACAGCAAUCCCCAGGUGCCAGGGAGGAGGCUGGCAAUUACGCUUCCCAUCACUGGCCUAUUCACCACUCCUGCAAACCAGCAUUCCUCAGAGCACUGACCCUCAAUGACUGGCAGGGCGACCGACUUUUAAAAGUGCCCAUUUUUAGCAGCUGGAAAUAAUAAACAGAGGGAAGUGAAGAUGCUGGAGGACUGAUUUCUCUUCCACUGUUUUCAAAAGUCAAAAGAUGCUAUAGACUAGUGGACUGGCAAGGAUGCCACGGAAAGCUGGUGCAACUCCUGCCGCAGAGCAGCUGUGUGAUGAUGGGUUAGUCCAUACACCUCCCUGGGCCUCAGUUUUUACAGCUGCAGAAUGACGAGGUAGAACUAGAAGGUCUUUAAUAUCCUUUUCAUCUCCAACUUUCUACAAUCUUUGUGAGCUGGAAAGAUUUACAUAGAACUUCAUCUUGAUUUUAUUACUUGUAGUUCAUCUUCUUGUGACAGAGCCGGCGGCAGCCUGUGCGUGCGGAAGGCCCACAGUCACACCCGAUCUAAACGCCCUGGAUGUGGCAAGAUCUACUGAGUUUGAAGACGGGAAAGGGAGAAAUAAGACUACGUGGCCAUCGUUUCUGGCAGCAGAAAUACUACACUUUCCUUCCCUGGGACUCUGCCAUCAUCUCCGCACCUCCUUCCCCCUG